CCCUUAGAUGUUCUGGGCCGCACGCGCGCUACACUGAUACAUUCAACGAGUAUACAACCUUGACUGAGAAGUCUGGGUAAUCUUUUGAAACUGUAUCGUGCUGGGGAUUGAACAUUGCAAUUUUUGUUCAUCAACGAGGAAUUCCUAGUAAAUGCAAGUCAUCAGCUUGCGUUGAUUACGUCCCUGCCCUUUGUACACACCGCCCGUCGCACCUACCGAUUGAAUGUUCCGGUGAAAUUUUCGGACUGUUGCAAUGUCGCCUUUAUUGGAGACGCUGCAGCGGGAAGUUAAUUAAACCUUAGCAUUUAGAGGAAGGUAAAGUCGUAACA
RNAcentral lists this ribosomal RNA (329 nucleotides) under uncultured eukaryote. RNAcentral describes it as "partial 18S ribosomal RNA". It matches the Rfam family "Eukaryotic small subunit ribosomal RNA", at positions 1470 to 1796 of the family's 1831-position model. The record is from RNAcentral.